Long non-coding RNA from Athene cunicularia (burrowing owl), 443 nucleotides. RefSeq lists it as uncharacterized. Lineage: Eukaryota; Metazoa; Chordata; Aves; Strigiformes; Strigidae. The record is from RefSeq and is a predicted model, not a curated record. The transcript has 2 exons.
GGCGGGCGCCUCGCGCGGGCAACAUGGAGGCCGGGCCGCCGCUGCGGGGGGAAGGGGCGCUGCCUGUCUCCCGCAGCCGCCUCUCGGCGCCGCGGCUCGCUCCUGUGCAGUCGGCCAGCGCAAGGCUGGCGCAGCGGUGAGUUGGGGUGUCAGGCUGUAGGGCUCAUUGUGUGAGGCCUUCUCCCGCGGCUCGUGGGAUCGCUGUUUUGUGGACCCGUUACCAACGGCGUAAUUGCGCCCCAGGAAUUUUCAUCAGACUGUUGCAGAGCUGUGCUGUUUGCAAAGGACCAGCCCUUUUUUUUUUACUAAAGCCAUUUGUGUGAUGGAGGACAAUAGACGGGUAGAGAGAUAAUUUCUCGUGGCUCGCCAAGAGGUUUUGAAUGACAGAUGAAGUUCAAUCACUGACACAGGAGGUGUAUGUCAACUAUCUAUGCUGCUCUUCC